GGUCUUUUCAUCCGCGUGGAAAACACCUAUAUCCCCCCUUGCCGGUGCUUGCAUCGGCUAUGGCAAUAAACGGUCGGUGAAAUAAACCUAUUGGACCCGGGGGCGGUACCCGGCGCCUCCACCAAAAACCGGUCGGUCUUUGUGACCGGCUUUUGAUGGGGGCGAAAUAGGAUCGACAAGGGCGUAAAGAUCGAACUUUUGCUCGGCAUGAUACCACCGUCAUCGGGUCACAAGUGUAGUUGCAAAUGACAACAACGCUCAGGGUUACGCUGUCGCUGCUUAAUCGCGGUGCCAGAAACCCAAACUAAGUCCUUACGGGUAGCACCGUAAGGCGGGGUUCGGAGGUACCUGGCAACAGAAACCUCCACU
This 369-nucleotide transfer-messenger RNA is filed under the name Gillisella vitis. RNAcentral describes it as "Agrobacterium vitis transfer-messenger RNA". It matches the Rfam family "Alphaproteobacteria transfer-messenger RNA". From Rfam's summary of the family: Bacterial tmRNA, also known as 10Sa RNA or SsrA, is named for its dual tRNA and mRNA-like properties. Its role is to liberate the mRNA from a stalled ribosome. The record is from RNAcentral. Lineage: Bacteria; Pseudomonadati; Pseudomonadota; Alphaproteobacteria; Hyphomicrobiales; Rhizobiaceae.